Molecule: ribosomal RNA, 666 nt
Filed under: uncultured fungus
Lineage: Eukaryota; Fungi
Description: eukaryotic LSU rRNA
Rfam family: Eukaryotic large subunit ribosomal RNA
Source: RNAcentral
CCCGCUGAACUUAAGCAUAUCAAUAAGCGGAGGAAAAGAAACUAACAAGGAUUCCCCUAGUAACGGCGAGUGAAGCGGGAUGAGCUCAAAUUUAAAAUCUGGUAGUCUUUGGCUGCCCGAGUUGUAAUUUAGAGAAGCGUCUUCCGCGCUGGACCGUGCACAAGUCUCCUGGAAUGGAGCGUCACAGAGGGUGAGAACCCCGUCUUUGGCAUGGACACACCAGGGCUUUUGUGAUGCGCUCUCGAAGAGUCGAGUUGUUUGGGAAUGCAGCUCAAAAUGGGUGGUGAACUCCAUCUAAAGCUAAAUAUUGGCGAGAGACCGAUAGCGAACAAGUACCGUGAGGGAAAGAUGAAAAGCACUUUGGAAAGAGAGUGAAACAGUACGUGAAAUUGUUGAAAGGGAAACGCUUGAAGUCAGUCGCGUCGACCGAGACUCAGCCUCGCCUCGGCUUGGUGUACUUCUCGGCUGACGGGUCAGCAUCAAUUUCGCCUCUUGGAUAAUGGCGGGGGAAAUGUGACACCUUUACGGUGUGUUAUAGUCUCUCGUCGCAUGCAAGGGUCGGGAUUGAGGAACUCAGCACGCGCCUUCGGGUGUCGGGGCUUUUGCCCACGAUACGUGCUUAGGAUGUUGGCGUAAUGGCUUUAAACGACCCGUCUUGAAACACGG